CUUAGGGAGGAGCUUGCGUCACAUUAGUUAGUUGGUGGGGUAAAGGCCUACCAAGACUAUGAUGUGUAGCCGGGCUGAGAGGUUGAACGGCCACAUUGGGACUGAGACACGGCCCAAACUCCUACGGGAGGCAGCAGUAGGGAAUUUUCGGCAAUGGAGGAAACUCUGACCGAGCAACGCCGCGUGAACGAUGAAGUAUUUCGGUACGUAAAGUUCUUUUAUUAGGGAAGAAUAAAUGAUGGAAAAAUCAUUCUGACGGUACCUAAUGAAUAAGCCCCGGCUAACUAUGUGCCAGCAGCCGCGGUAAUACAUAGGGGGCAAGCGUUAUCCGGAAUUAUUGGGCGUAAAGGGUGCGUAGGCUGUUAAAUAAGUUUAUGGUCUAAGUGCAAUGCUCAACAUUGUGAUGCUAUAAAAACUGUUUAGCUAGAGUAAGAUAGAGGCAAGUGGAAUUCCAUGUGUAGUGGUAAAAUGCGUAAAUAUAUGGAGGAACACCAGUAGCGAAGGCGGCUUGCUGGGUCUUUACUGACGCUGAGGCACGAAAGCGUGGGGAGCAAACAGGAUUAGAUACCCUGGUAGUCCACGCCGUAAACGAUGAGUACUAAACGUUGGGUAAAACCAGUGUUGAAGUUAACACAUUAAGUACUCCGCCUGAGUAGUACGUACGCAAGUAUGAAACUUAAAGGAAUUGACGGGACUCCGCACAAGCGGUGGAUCAUGUUGUUUAAUUCGAAGGUACCCGAAAAACCUCACCAGGUCUUGACAUGCUUCUGCAAAGCUGUAGAAACACAGUGGAGGUUAUCAGUUGCACAGGUGGUGCAUGGUUGUCGUCAGCUCGUGUCGUGAGAUGUUGGGUUAAGUCCCGCAACGAGCGCAACCCUUNNUGUUAGUUGCCANCACGUAAUGGUGGGGNCUUUAGCA
Molecule: ribosomal RNA, 918 nt
Filed under: Candidatus Phytoplasma asteris-related phytoplasma
Lineage: Bacteria; Bacillati; Mycoplasmatota; Mollicutes; Acholeplasmatales; Acholeplasmataceae
Description: bacterial SSU rRNA
Rfam family: Bacterial small subunit ribosomal RNA
Source: RNAcentral